AGAGUUUGAUCCUGGCUCAGGAUGAACGCUGGCGGCGUGCCUAACACAUGCAAGUCGAGCGAUCUUCUUCGGAAGAGAGCGGCGGACGGGUGAGUAACGCGUGGGUAACCUGCCUCAUACACAUGGAUAACAUACCGAAAGGUAUGCUAAUACAAGAUGAUAUAAGAGAUUCGCAUGGAUUUCUUAUCAAAGCUCCGGCGGUAUGAGAUGGACCCGCGUCUGAUUAGCUAGUUGGUAAGGUAACGGCUUACCAAGGCGACGAUCAGUAGCCGACCUGAGAGGGUGAUCGGCCACAUUGGAACUGAGACACGGCCCAAACUCCUACGGGAGGCAGCAGUGGGGAAUAUUGCACAAUGGGCGAAAGCCUGAUGCAGCAACGCCGCGUGAGCGAUGAAGGCCUUCGGGUCGUAAAGCUCUGUCCUCAAGGAAGAUAAUGACGGUACUUGAGGAGGAAGCCCCGGCUAACUACGUGCCAGCAGCCGCGGUAAUACGUAGGGGGCUAGCGUUAUCCGGAUUUACUGGGCGUAAAGGGUGCGUAGGUGGUUUCUUAAGUCAGGAGUGAAAGGCUACGGCUCAACCGUAGUAAGCUCUUGAAACUGGGAAACUUGAGUGCAGGAGAGGAAAGUGGAAUUCCUAGUGUAGCGGUGAAAUGCGUAGAUAUUAGGAGGAACACCAGUAGCGAAGGCGGCUUUCUGGACUGUAACUGACACUGAGGCACGAAAGCGUGGGGAGCAAACAGGAUUAGAUACCCUGGUAGUCCACGCUGUAAACGAUGAGUACUAGGUGUCGGGGGUUACCCCCCUCGGUGCCGCAGCUAACGCAUUAAGUACUCCGCCUGGGGAGUACGCUCGCAAGAGUGAAACUCAAAGGAAUUGACGG
Molecule: ribosomal RNA, 879 nt
Filed under: uncultured bacterium
Lineage: Bacteria
Description: bacterial SSU rRNA
Rfam family: Bacterial small subunit ribosomal RNA
Source: RNAcentral